RNAcentral lists this ribosomal RNA (253 nucleotides) under uncultured bacterium. Its description in RNAcentral is "partial 16S ribosomal RNA". It matches the Rfam family "Bacterial small subunit ribosomal RNA", at positions 524 to 776 of the family's 1533-position model. The record is from RNAcentral.
UACGUAGGUGGCGAGCGUUGUCCGGAUUUACUGGGCGUAAAGGGAGCGUAGGCGGAUAUUUAAGUGGGAUGUGAAAUACCCGGGCUUAACUUGGGUGCUGCAUUCCAAACUGGAUAUCUAGAGUGCAGGAGAGGAAAGUGGAAUUCCUAGUGUAGCGGUGAAAUGCGUAGAGAUUAGGAAGAACACCAGUGGCGAAGGCGACUUUCUGGACUGUAACUGACGCUGAGGCUAGAAAGCGUGGGGAGCAAACAGG